This 391-nucleotide ribosomal RNA is filed under the name uncultured eukaryote. Its description in RNAcentral is "partial 18S ribosomal RNA". It matches the Rfam family "Eukaryotic small subunit ribosomal RNA", at positions 592 to 976 of the family's 1831-position model. The record is from RNAcentral.
CAAUAGCGUAUAUUAAAGUUGUUGCAGUUAAAAAGCUCGUAGUUGGAUUUCUGUGAGAGUGCCGGUGUCGGCUGAUGCUUGUACGCAGGCGCUCUUACAUCCUUCUGUUAACUGUUCUUGGCAUUUUAUUGCUGGUUCAGGGCUCAGAUAUUUUACCUUGAGAAAAUUAGAGUGUUUCAGGCAGGCUUAUGCCGGAAUACAUUAGCAUGGAAUAAUGGAACAGGACCUGUGCGUCUCUCGGGGCGCCGGUCUCCGUUGUUGGUUUCGGGGACUAAUCUAAUGAUUAAUAGGGAUAGUUGGGGGCAUUAGUAUUUAAUAGUCAGAGGUGAAAUUCUCGGAUUUGUUAAAGACUAACUUAUGCGAAANCANNNGCCAAGGAUGUUUUCAUNAA